GUACCCAACGUUUGAUCAUCCGUCUUAUUUAAAAAAAUUAUAAAUUUUUUUUUAAAAGUUAAGUCAAACAUAAAUUACUAUUAAUAUUCUACCAUCUUAUAACAAUGAAAAUACUAAUCAUAAAAAAUAUUUUAAAUAAGACGGAUUGUUAAAGUUAGAG
This 160-nucleotide unclassified non-coding RNA is filed under the name Oryza sativa (Asian cultivated rice). RNAcentral's name for it is "partial microRNA MIR438q-2 precursor". Lineage: Eukaryota; Viridiplantae; Streptophyta; Magnoliopsida; Poales; Poaceae. The record is from RNAcentral.